Molecule: ribosomal RNA, 255 nt
Filed under: uncultured bacterium
Lineage: Bacteria
Description: partial 16S ribosomal RNA
Rfam family: Bacterial small subunit ribosomal RNA
Source: RNAcentral
UACGGGGGGAGCAAGCGUUGUUCGGAUUUACUGGGCGUAAAGGGCGCGUAGGCGGCCACCGCAAGUCGACUGUGAAAUCUCCGGGCUUAACCCGGAAAGGUCAACCGAUACUGCGGGGCUAGAGUGCAGAAGGGGCAACUGGAAUUCUCGGUGUAGCGGUGAAAUGCGUAGAUAUCGAGAGGAACACCUGCGGCGAAGGCGACUACCUGGCCUGUUUCUUGACGCUGAGGCGCGAAAGCUAGGGGAGCAAACGGG